GGCUGGUGCCGGAGGCAGACCGUGAGCUCAGGCAGGGGAGGGUCAGUCAAGGCUAUCGCCCCCACUUCUUGCUGGGCCGGUUUUCGUCAGGGGAAUUUCACCCACUGGGUCUUAACAGCCACUUGGCCUCUGACAAAAAAAUGCUGUGGCAAUGACUUCAGUACUCAAAACAAUGUUUCCAAAAGAGAGAUAGACAAUGCUUUGUGCCCCUUCUUCCCCCUUCACAACUUUACAGGGCAUUGCCUGCUAUCGGAUGGUUUUCUGAAAACCCACAGACCUCUCCCACCUCCUCCGCAUAGAGCACCGACAGGUGCGGCAUGGGUUCACCACUCAAGCAGUCGACAGCCUGGAUUUCUAACGGCCAACUUCAAUUCUCUCCCCUCCCUCUCUAGCACCUCUCUUUCCCCCAGUAAGUCAUCCUAAGCUGGCUGUCCUGAUAAACCGGGGGCUUGGGGACUUUCUUCAAGUGCCUUGUAAAUGGAAGCAUCUCAGACUAACAGCUCUGGGUGUUCAAUGAGAUUAUAUUUCUUAUUUAAAUAGCUGAUUGGAGAAUUGGUUUCAAAGUAAGAUGCUGUACACCCAUGGCCUCCUCUGGGCUCCUGGAGAGAAGCAAUAUUGUGUGGCAUUGUGCAGCGGCAGGAGCCUCUCCUUCCAAGCUCCCCACUCCCAUUCAGAUGCCUCCAGGACGGGGGGAGCGGGCCGCGGUGGGGGAUGAAAGCUGCCUCCCCUCCUGGUUUGGGGGAGCCGGAGAUUAUGCCUUUCAUUCAAGAGUGCCUUCUCCAGGGCUCCCCACCAUGCUCUGUACCAGUUGUCUUCCCCUCUCAAAGCGACGGGGAGAUAAAAGGCAAUGUGUUCGCUUCAUCCCACCUCCGGGGAGAGCUCAAAUCAGGCUUUUGUCAGCGGAGGAUAAGCGACACCAUUUUAGGAAGGGUUGUUGUUCAGGGAGCUCUGUUGGACGGUUUUGUGCAAGCUUUAUCCACCCCCUCCCAUGACUCGUGCCAUGGUUCCCCUGGCCCCAUGCUGGGCUGUGGGCGGGCUGAUGCUUCCUCUCUGAUCGGUGCCCACAGCCAGCCCUGAGAGGGGUGGCAUCACCGUGGGGAGCCGGCAAUCCCUAGCCCUUCAGGAAAAAUGAGGUUUCACAGAACCAAAUCCUGCUUGAAUUGUGCUGUACGAAUCCUGUGAGGGCCCGAGCUCUUAGCUUAGAGCAAAUUUUGCAGUUAAUUGUGUGUCAAAAUAACGUAUUAGAAACAGCAGCGUCUGGACCGUGUGCAAUUCCUCUCCUUUCAAGCCUUUGUCUGCCCAGGGCUGGAGGGGCUUGUCAGGGCAUCUUUGAGACAGGCUGGUGGCCCCCGUCAAAAGCAGCCCAAGGAUUUCGGUGACUAUCCCAGAGCCUUGGACAAGAUAAAAGACCAGUGGUGGCCUUGAAGAAUGCCCGGCUCUGUCCGCAGUGCUGGGCGGGGCCGGUGAUCUUCAUUACCAGUAGCUGCGGCACAGAGGCGGGCAGUUUGGUAUGCCAGGCACAUCCAGCGCCUCAUGCAUCCAGGGACCGCAAUCAGGUAGCUGAUGGGGAUGCAAGUCACAUCGCCUGGACCAUUGCCGCAGUGAACUGAUUCAUGCUGCUACUUUGAGGCGGGGAGAAGGGACAGCGGGGCCCUGAGACAAACCAGCCCGGCUUUAUUACACAGCUGCUGUUUUCAAGCCAGAAUAUUCCAGCCUCUCCUGCUCCUUCUCUUGCUGCUGGGCCUGCACUGGCUGCCUACCUGCAAAGAAAGUGCUCGUUCUGGCCCCUGGCUCUGGCUGAACAAUGGCAUUAUGUGAUGCAUAAAGAGUACCCGGGCAACGGAGACAAGCAUGGCUUAAUUCGCUCAGUGCCCAGUGGCUUUUGAACGCCCCUGUAUUCAGCCUUUAUCCUGAGCAGCCUGGGCCUCCCCGGCCUUUAUUCCCCAGCCCUCCCCAUCACAGUCUUCCUCCAGUUUCCACACAGGUCUGCAAUGGAGCUGAUGGCCAUGAAAUGAGAGGCACAAAGGAAGGGAAGACAGGACGCUCUGUCUCUAACCAGGAAAGACUCCUGCUUGUGGGAAAAAGAAAAGAAACCAAAACUGGACCUAAUACCUUUAGAUCGCCUGCCAUCUAAUAUCCGGGUUAACUCCAGACUGGGCCCCUUUCCAGAGGCAAUGGAAAUGCUCCAGCAGGAUCUCACUUCCUCACUGCCCCAUCACCCAACCCGGUGGGGACAGAUGAUGCCCCAGAUUCCCAGCAGCCCCACCCCUGCAUGGCUGAGGAAAUGCUUCCACCACCUGAGCUUCUACCUGCCCAUCCAGACUGGCUCUCUGCCCUUAGGCCCUCAGUCUCCGCAUCCUGCCUUCCUGGUCUCCCAGUAGGAGACCUCUGCAGGUACUGUCACCUGGAGAACCCAGAAUCUGGAAGGGACCACAGGGGGACUCCAAGCAGAGCUCUGCCCAUGGAGCCCACACUGGCUGCCAUGUCCCUUCAGCCCAGCUCACAGAAAUACAUCCUAAGGAAGAGAUGCCACAUCUACUAUACACAGAGGUCUCUGAAGCCACACGUUCAUAUUGUUUCAACAAGCAUUGAACAACUAAUAUUUGCUGGCACUGAGGAAAAAUAUUAGGUACAAGGAGCUCCUUGAAGGCAGGGAGAAAAGACAGACUCUCAUACACAAGUUCAGUUAGAUAACAAGCAGUGAGCAGGCAACUGGGACUAAAUGCUACCAUCUUCUGUAUUGAUAGAGGGAUCACUGUAUUAUAGCACCACACUCGGAUGUCAGAAACAUCUUGGCCAGACACAGCAUUAAUACAGGAGGCAUGAAGCUGACUCCCUACUCAUCACUGCAAUACAAAGUCAAAAAGCCUCUAUAGCUCUCCCAGAACAUGGAUCAGAUUGUUAUGGGAGGUGAGAGAAGAACGAUGUGAUAUUUAAUCUGUUCUCUAAACAUACACAAAGAGACAAGAGGUGAAAGGGCUUGGAUGGUUCACUGAGGGAGUGGUCCCAAACUCCAGAGUAGUUCAGGCUGGGUGGAGCAGUGGGAACAUAGAAGAAGAGAGUUGAAAAUAAAGUGAGAAAGUUCAAUUAGGACUUUCUCCAAAUCACAAUGGACCCCCGGGCAGACAGAAAAGUUCAAAUUUUAUUCUGUAAACCAUAGGAAGCCAUUGAAUGUUCAUUAAGGGGGGAUUCCAUCAGAACUGCGAUUCAGAAGGAGCCUCCACUGGCUAUGUGGAGAGCAGACUAGGAGCUAGAAGAGUGGCCAGGAGAUGAAAGCAAUGCACCAGGGAAGCGGAUGAUGGCCUGAACGAGGGCAGUGGUGAUGGGAUGCACAGGAGGUAUAUGUCAGAACUCAUACAGAGAAAGAAUCCAAACAGCUUGGUGGGUGGCUGAACAUUCUGGGUAAUGAUCAAAGAUGCCUGAAGUGUUGGGGAGGAUGACAAUGCCGCCUUCAGAAGGAGGAAGAACAGGUUUAAAAGGGAAGAAGAUUUCAGACUCAUGCCCUGGAUGGAUGAUCAAAGACCAAGCAGCAACCUCAGGGCUUGUCUAUGUGGGUUGGAGGGCCCUAGAAGAGCUUGUUGCACAGGAGGAGUGGUCUGGGGCCCAGGGAUACUGGGCUGCAGAAUCUCACAUGGGCACCAUGGAGGAACCAGCAGCCCAGAAACACUCCCCAAGGCCCUGUCUAGUGGCCCUGGGCCAAGCUGCGAGCUGCAGCCUCUGGGGCCUGUGAAGCCCUGAGUACCUCAUGGGGACUGUAAAUAUUUGCCUGAUUAAGAGCCCCAACCAGAGACUCAGCAACAGCUCCUCCAUACGCAGUAAUCGACACAUCUUCCGUGGAGGGCUUAGAGAGGGGAAGCCAUCUCAAGUGAUGGCACUUCACACUCAGCACUUGACAUUCCCAGGCACUCCACAGGCAUUAGCUAAUUAGUCCUUGAGUCUGUUUAGCCCCCAAAAGAACUCCCAGAGGUUCCAUUCAUGCCCCAUGUGCAGGGAGUUUCACACCCUUCUGAGUCAGGAUCCAGAGCAUUGGGGAGACAGCUUUGCAGAUAGCCACUCGCCCACUCACUCCCUUGCAGAGAAAUCAAGUGUCUGCAAGGGAGCCGGAAAGAAGAAGUUUUCACUGUGUCAUAUUCUUCCUGGGAAAGAGAUAGGAGACAGAGAAAGGGACAGGAGACCAGUAUCUACUCAAAUCCCUACUAGUAAUGCUCACUGCAGUUUAUUUUUCUCUGAGCAUUUUAAACAUCUUCCCAUUUAACCCUCAAAAUUAUCCUAUGAUAUACAAUGUGUUUUUUAGAUUGAGCUCUCCCAGGAGGAGUCACUGGGGCAAGGAUUCAGGUGUAAGCAAUUGAUCUGGGAUUUGACCCCAGGAAACACCAGUCAGGAGAGGGAAGAAAAGAAAAAGAAGGGAAAGAAGCCAAUAAAGUGUGUUUUGGAGCACUCCACUACUGCAGGCCUAUGAGGCUUCAUCACCCUGGGCCACUCUGGAGAUCUGCACAGCACACCUCAGUCACCCCACUGAGGGAUGAAGGAGCUGGGGGAUGUAUCCUCCAACUCCUGCCAGUCAUGGGUUGAAGGUUGCUCCCAGUUGGGAGAAUGGAUUAACUCCCCCCACAAUGCCUGGCCUGUGCCAUGUACACACAUACUCAAAACAACCUGAAAGCCCUUAGACAAAUAUCCACAGGUGCUUGUGUCAGAAGUCUCCAGGUUGGGUACACAGGAACGGUGAUUGCCAAGAGAUAUGGACAAAGCACCGAUAGCAUCUUUUACGAUACCACUAUUCCAUUUUAAUAGAUGAGAAACCUGACGUUCAGAGAUGGGACCGAAUUUGGCCAAGAUCACACAAGUACAAAGUGAUGAAACCUAAAUUUAGACCAAGCCAGUUUGCCUCCACUUCUUGGUUCAUUUCGCUACGCACCACUAUCUUCCAGGCCUAGCUUCCCUCUUCUCCCUUCUUUCUCCUUAUCCCAGACACAAAGGACAGGGCUGUCUGCUAACAGUGUCUCCUCUCCCUGAACAUGCCUCUGAGAUGCCUGACUCUUUCCAGCAAGUGUCCUUGAGAUAAGGCUUGAUGACAGAUCUGUCUAUUGGUGAAGUCUGAACCAGGUGGAGCACCCUUUCCUCUGCCACGCUUACUGCUGCUUACCAAAUCCCCUUUUCUUUGACCCUUUAAUUCAUUUGAUAACUUUGAGAUGCACAGACCUGCAGGGCUUCAAAGAACAGUAAAUUUCCCAUCCCGAACACCACAGCCCUUGCUGCUGGGUUUGUGCUUUGUUUUUGCUUGCACAAGCCAGUGGUGAGCAUUUAUCGCUGGUUAGAGAAUUGAAUUUGGCAGGAGAGAUUUCUGUGCAUUUGGGGGAUUAAUUUGUCAAGCACCUUCGCCAGCAGAAAUGCUAAGGAUGGCAGCCAAGAGUAGGGUGGUGCAGGCAGUCUGGCAAACAUAGGCCAAACCCUCUUUUGUAGCUGGUUCUCUCUAGCCCUGAGAAGAAAUGCAACAUCACUCAGCUUUCACACCCCAGGAGCACGGCUUUCCCUUAGGCACACUGUCUUCUCCCCAAAUUAGCACUGUCUCAUCAGGGGCCAACCCAACAGGGAAGCCGGGGUUGAGAAGGUGGUGGGGUGGCCAGACAGAAUGAGGGGACCUGGGAACUAGGCAUGUUCCCCUGGGUGGAGCACAUACUUGGGGCCUGCCUAUCAAGAAUAGCAAAUUCACAGGUGUGACAGGAAGUGAGAGAAUGAGCCAGGAAUGAGCAUCAGGUGGGGUCGGCUACAGUAAGGAGCAAGAGAGUCCCCAGAGGUCUCAGAAAUGCAAAUAGGUAGAGAUCUGGCAAGCAGACUGGUGGGUAUAAUAGUCAUUGUCAUUCAAAGGUGUGCUAGAGACAGCUUAUACCACUUCUCUAGAGGCAAUUGUUAAAUUUUCAAAAAGUUUGCAAGCCAGUUGCUAAACACAGCCAUUAUUAAAAUGUAAAUCCUAUAAAUUUAGAGUUAAAUUGUAUUAAAAUCAAAAGUUAAAGGAUACUCAAAAUAUAUCACUAUGCUUUACUAUGAUCUAUAUUGUUAAGUUUACCUAGGAAUCCUGUGUCUGUGUGAUGGGAAUUCUGUACAAUGGUGACUGUCACAUAUACAUCUCUUCCCAACCCCAGGUCCAGCGUUGGAACAUUGGUAGCUUGAAAUUGACCAUAUUGGUAGGAUUUACACCAAGGAAAUUGGCAAACGCUAAAAAUUAGGACUGUUUUUGUGAAAGCCAGUGUUUAGUAGAAUUUACUGGCACACUACUAGCAAUUGCUACCCUGAAUCAAGGCACUAUCUACCCUGCAUCAUGCUAAAUGUCUCACAUUCGUUAUAUUACAAUGUAGGCAUCACACACCUGUAUGGCACGCCAGUCGUUAAAAUAUUGAAUUACUUUCACUUUGGUUGCUAAACAGCUGCUGUCCCAAGCCCCGGCAUGUCCUCCUUCCACCUUAGCCACCCCUGCCCUCCUCUGAUACCUCUAAAGGUUUGCGCCUAAUCCUGCUGUAAGACUGGAAGACUGGCCAGUGCUCACACAAUACAGGCUGUUCAUAUUUUUACCAUAAUCUCUACUUACAUUUAUCCUACAAGGUGGAUAUUAUUAUCAUCCCCUUUUUACUGAUGAGGAAACUGAGGCUCAGAGAGAAACCAACUUGUCUUGAGCCACACAGCUAGCAAAAUACAAGACCUGGGAUAGAGCCUAAGUUGACCUGGGUCCACCCAGUGUUCCUAACCAUUGGGACACACCAUUUCUCAGCAGCAUGGAGGUCUGGGGUCUGAUGGCAGGGCCUGGGCCCAUGAGGCCAGGGCAGUUCAAGAGGUCUCACAGCUGGGCCACUAGACACUGUAGGAGCUAAAGGGAUGGCUAGGGAGGGCCAGGAAUUAGAUACUCCUCCCCUUACUUCCCCUGUCUUGCCUCUCCCCUCCUCUUCCUUUCAUAUCAUCUCCUCCCCUCCCCUUCUGUGCCCAAUCUGAGUCCUUAAACGGCAAAGUGUAAAACACCAUAUCUGCCCUCAGGAAGCUUACAGUCUGAGCUAAGGAGAAACUGCCCAUACCUAUGAACAAUAUAAAUACUAAAUAUUUGAUUACAUCACACAAGCCAAGUCACAAAGCAGGUGUCACGGCUGAGAGACAACAAGGAAGCUCUCAGAAACUGAGGGCCAAACACUCUCAUCUAUUAGGCAAUGCAAAGAUUUUCCUGUUACUGCAAUUCUUAGAUAUAAUGUGCAUCAUUGUAAGAGUGAAUCACUAAGUUAGAAGCUUCCUGGAGGAAAAAUACUGCCUCAUCAAACAUAUGCCACAAUGGUAAGAGCCAUCCUGAUUUCAGAAGUGUGCAUUGUAAGGCAGAAAAAUAUAUCCUCAUGCUCCAAGGUCACUAGGACAAUGGAUACAGCAGAAAGUCAGUUCCCUCAAAUCUCGCCUUGUGAUUCAUUCAUUCACUCAUUCAACAAAUAUUUUUGAGAGCCUGGUGCUGGGGACAUGGCAGACAACAGUAAACGGGAGACUGGCUUCCUGCUCUCCCAGAGCUCCCAUCUGAGUGGAGCAGACAGCCUUUAUGUUAGUAACACAACAUAUAAAUAUGCACUUACAAAUAGGAAUAUGUGCAAAGAAAGAACAGAACUGAAUGUUGUGAGACAAAGAACAAAGAGGAAGGAAGAGCUUUGAGCAGAUAUCCAGGGAAGGCCUCUCAGAAGAAGCUCCUGCAAAGGAGGAUGGGUGAGGAACAAGCUCCAGGAGACGGAGAGGACGUGCCAUGGACCCAAGGGGCAAGGAGUCCAGGGUGUGCUCCAUACUGAAGAAAGGCCAGUCCAGUGAGUGCAGCAGAAGCCACAUCAGCUCAGCCGUAUGGCCAUGGCAAGGGGUUUUGGUUUUAAUCUGAGUGCAGUUGGGCGAAUUUAGGUAAAAGUGACAUGCGGGGAAGUGGCAUAGGCUGAUGCAACUCUUGGAAGAAUCCCUCUGGGUGCUGGGUUAAGAAUAGGCCCAUUGGGAGUGGUGGGAGGAGUAGAAGUAGAGAAACCAGAGACAAGGCUAGUGUGGUGCUCCCAGCAAAUGCAAACAGUGAUGGCAGUUGGGACUAGGGUCGUGGCCAUAGAGAAAAGAGUAGGUUGAUUCAAGCUUUGAAGAGAGCCUGGGGCAUGUUGUGAUUGACUGCACAUGGGAGAGAGAGGGGUGCUUCAUGGGCAUUGCCCUCCAGUAGGCGGAGUUGCUGCUCACUGAAAAGAAGCUUGUGUGGGCAGACCUCCUUCUCGUCCCAUCCCAAGGGAGGUGGAAAAACGACCAGGAAGAGAAGACACUUUUAGAAGCCUCAGGAGAGCCUGAGAGAGCAGUUACUGAUGCUAACUGAACCCUUCACUUAUUUGUCCUCUAUGUGGCAAGACCCACAAUGCACACUCCAAGGAGUAAUAUACAAAAUUAAUGCUGUACAAGCAUAUAAGAUGAAGAAAACACAACUCUUCAUCUGGUCCUGGGAGGCUUCGUGGAGGAAGCAUUUUCUCUCCUAGAUCUAGAAGGACAAUAGAAUCUAAAUAGGUCUUUUUCAUUUCCAUAUGAAUUAUAGAAUCAGCUUGCCAAUUUCUACAAUUUCCAUACUGCUGCAUACUCCCUCUUUCUACUUGGAUAAGAAAACAAAUAAGAGGGAAAAUCUGAGCUGGGUUGGAUACCAUGACUCUAAACAAAGUAGAUACUCAGGAAGACUGAAUUGAACUGAAGAGGCGAGCUCCGCAUCUCCAAGGUGGAACAACAGUGGUUUUGUCCUUCAAACAAAUAUCAUGCAGUCAAAGAUGUUGGAUCCAUCAGCCCUCAGCAAGGCUGUCCCCUUCCUGAGAAUUGCCCCUUUUUCCUCCAUCAGAACACACUUUCUUCUGCUCUAGUCUUUCCUGGCUGUUGGGUAUGGCUCCUGCCCCUGGAGAGCUCUCAUAAUGUACCUGUUAUCUUCUACAUCUGGGUAAACACAGACUUCAGAACAGAAAACCCAGUCCUCAGUGGAUACUGGGAGGAAAAGAUAGAAAGAAAAGGAAGAGUGUGCACUGGGAAAUCCAGUGGAAUACUAAUUGAGGGGCAUUGGCUUAGUAGCUUUAAGAAUUUGUUUUUAUGGGUUUCUAGAAAUAACAAUAGUGGCUCCCACGUAGAACAUGCCAGGCUAAGCUUUGCUUUGCAUGAAUUUUCUCAUUCAGGCCUCGUAAAAUCCAGUGGGGGACAAGCAUAGUCAUGCCCAUUUUCCUGAUGAGUUGAGGCCUACAGAGAUUAAGCAACUUUCCCAAGUCAUUGCUAGCAAUGGCAGUGCUGGAGCAUGAAUCCUGGUCUGGUCUGACUCCAAAGUCCACACUCUGGACUAAACCCCAGGGUGAUUCUGCCUUCAGGGAUGGGAAAUGGAAAAGCCCCAUAAAUGUAUGCAGUCAGAUUAUUAACAUGAUUUAAUGAGCCACUACGAUGAGCCAGGAUCGUACCCAGGACCAUCUGACACCACCAUAUGUGAUUCCACACCCAGGCAAGAUGCCUGACUCUCCUCUAGCCAGCUUGAGAAGCUGCCCCCGAUGAGAAAUGGGAGGCCUAAGGUGAUGGAUUUGAAAACAGGGAGGAAGACCUGGAAGGACCACUUCCUUUGAGAAGAGGGUCAUCUAGCAGAAUCUUAACCCCUGGAGGCUUCUCUAACUGCCUUAGGCACAGAAGAAGAUCCAUUGUUUCAGGUACCAAGUGGCCAAGAUGGCAUAGCCUUGGGCAUGGUUGGAUCAGGAUGGGAGUCCUUCUCAUCAGGUUCUUUCCAGGUGACAAAUACAUAGCCACCCACACCUUCAGGCCCACAUUUCCCCUGCUUAGAAGCCUCCUUACUUGAAGAGAGUUCCAGCAAAAGCCCCAAGUCACAUCCUUUUUGUCCCAAGUAGGCUCAUUUCACAACCAAUCCAUGAGAUGCUAUUGGGCCAGGCUUGAGUUCUACAUCCACUCCUCAAGGCAGAGGACAGAAGCCAGCCCAGUCCAACCCCACUGCCUGAGAGCAGGAAAGUGAUGAAUUCCCAAAGGAAAACGGAAACAUCAUUGCCAGAAGAUGGCAGCGCAGCAGGCAGAACAUCAGAUGUCCCCUCUGACUUCUCUCUGACCUGGAUAUCCACGGCAGAUCUGCUCAGUUCACAAGGCAUCAACCACUAAAACUGUGUUUGUUUUGUUGGCCACUCCCAGUAUUGAUUUUCACCAACUCUGAGACUUGCCAGCUUCAAAUUGCAUGAUGCUCCUUCUCUGUCUUCUUCCAGCCAAUGAAUUUCAAGGUCUGGCACCUGCAACCUGCAGAAGGCAGGGGCUUCUUUCUGAUUUAACAGGGAUCCUAUUUCCGAUGUACAUAUUUCUGUCCUCCAUACAUAAAAACUGUAUUUUCUUUCCUAGAAUUGUGGCAUAUAACUUGAUCUGAACUUAUAGAUACCAGUAGGGAUGGUGAGAAGAGGUAUUGGGGAUUAGAAAUGUAUCCAAGCACCUAGGCUGCAUGGUCACUAUACCCAUUGCCCUCUACCUGGGAAGCAUUUGGACAUGGCCAGGAAACAAUGCUUACAUCAGCAAGUUCUUAACCCUCUCACCAAAUGUCCUUGCAGAAUUGCCCCUUGUUCUAAGCCCUAACAGGGCUAAGGGGUUUCUCCAAAAGCUAUCGUUGGCUCCAAUUAGCUGGCCAAUUUAACAGGACAAAUGAAACCGAGUUGACCGCCUGGACAUCCAUGAUGAGUGACCAGGCCCAAAACUCCUGAAUCUCCUCGGACCCACCGCUGCCCAGCCUCCAGGGCAAAGAACCCCAAACAGGGUGAAGCAGAUGCCUCCCUCCUGGGGAGAAACGAGUGUGUAAGAUGUUUCACAUGCAGCAGCAGUAGCCACUGCAGCAAAAAAGGCAAGUUCAAAGGUAAUUGGACGAGGAGUUUUAAGCACGGCUGUUCCCGUAGCAAACUGUUUCAUGAAUACCCAUCGGGAUCUGUCCAUAUGGACAGCAGAAGGGUUCCUGCUGUUCUUUUGCUAAUAAAAACUGUUGUGAUUACA
Molecule: long non-coding RNA, 11016 nt
Filed under: Homo sapiens (human)
Lineage: Eukaryota; Metazoa; Chordata; Mammalia; Primates; Hominidae
Description: HSALNT0358631
Source: RNAcentral